Molecule: ribosomal RNA, 462 nt
Filed under: uncultured bacterium
Lineage: Bacteria
Description: partial 16S ribosomal RNA
Rfam family: Bacterial small subunit ribosomal RNA
Source: RNAcentral
GAUGAACGCUGACAGAAUGCUUAACACAUGCAAGUCAUUGGCGAAGCUGCGCUUGCGCAGUCUAGCCAAGGCGGACGGGUGAGUAACGCGUAAGGAACUUGCCCUGCAGACAGGGAUAACAGACGGAAACGACUGAUAACACCUGGUAUUGUCAGGCUGGCGCAUGCCGGCCUGAUGAAAGGAGACGCUGCAGGAGAGCCUUGCGUCCUAUUAGCUAGUUGGUGGGGUAACGGCCCACCAAGGCGAUGAUAGGUAGCCGGCCUGAGGGGGUGAACGGCCACAAGGGGACUGAGAUACCGCCGUUACUCCUACGGGGGGCAGGAGGGGGGAAUAAUGGACCAAGGGGGCAACCCUGAUCCAGCAAUUCUGUGUGGAAGAAGAAGGUUUUCGGAUUGUAAAGUGCUUUCAGCAGGGAAGAAGAAAGUGACGGUACCUGCAGAAGAAGCGACGGCUAAAUACGUG